RNAcentral lists this non-coding RNA (170 nucleotides) under uncultured Muribaculum sp. The record is from RNAcentral. Lineage: Bacteria; Pseudomonadati; Bacteroidota; Bacteroidia; Bacteroidales; Muribaculaceae.
CGAGUUUGCCGGCGAUUAAAAGGGAACACGGGUGAGAAUCCCGGACAGUCCCGCUGCGGUAAUUUUCAUUAACGGUCUCAGGCUUUCAGCCACUGGAUUUCGGCGAUACGGAUCUGGGAAGGCGCUUGAGUUAAACCGGAAAUAAGUCCGAAGACCUGCCUGCGUGUUAU